GACGAACGCUGGCGGCGUGCCUAACACAUGCAAGUCGAACGAGAUCCAGAGGAGCUUGCUCCUUGAAGAUCUAGUGGCGAACGGGUGAGUAACACGUGAAGAACCUGCCCCGGACUCUGGGAUAACUCGAGGAAACUCGAGCUAAUACCGGAUACCUUCUCGAGGUCGCAUGGCCAUGAGAAGAAAGUUUUUCGGUCUGGGAGGGCUUCGCGGCCUAUCAGCUAGUUGGUGAGGUAACGGCUCACCAAGGCUACGACGGGUAGCUGGUUUGAGAGAACGAUCAGCCACACUGGGACUGAGACACGGCCCAGACUCCUACGGGAGGCAGCAGUGGGGAAUCUUGCGCAAUGGGCGAAAGCCUGACGCAGCAACGCCGCGUGCGGGAUGAAGGCCUUCGGGUUGUAAACCGCUUUCAGCAGGGACGAAAAUGACGGUACCUGCAGAAGAAGCUCCGGCUAACUACGUGCCAGCCGCCGCCGUA
This 481-nucleotide ribosomal RNA is filed under the name uncultured bacterium. RNAcentral's name for it is "bacterial SSU rRNA". It matches the Rfam family "Bacterial small subunit ribosomal RNA", at positions 28 to 522 of the family's 1533-position model. The record is from RNAcentral.